GUUAAAAUAACAUCUCCAUGCCUUAUAUAUCAUGUACUGUAAGUACGACGUUAGAUUAAAACUGACAUGGAAAGGUUAGACUAUGGCUUCAAUAUUCAAUGUUUUAAAAGAUCAUGUUUUGCUUGGCGUAGACUUAAUAAGUUGGAAUAGAUCUACGAAGACCAAAGAACGGUCAUGUAUGGUUUGGCACUUGUACAUGCCCACCGAUGUCCAGAUAUUGUUCGAAAUUGUUUUUGAAAAGUUACGAUGCUACCGGACAUUGAAAAACAUGUCCUUUUUUCAUGGAAAAUUAAACUGUUACGGCAUAUUACAGAACACUAAACUGGCUUUCGUUGCUGUAAAUACAAGUUAAAAAGCUGACGUGGGUUACAUUAAAGCUAGAAAUCCCAAUCCUCCGGCAUCAAAUAAUUAAAAAGAAAAAGCACAUGACCUUUACGUCGUUUUGCAUUUGCGCCGAUCUGCAUUUCAUUUACGCCGAUUUUAACAUCAUUUCAGGGGUAAACUUGCAUUUAACGGUGUCCAGGUCCUAAAUAUAUAGAAAAUAAAGAGAUGCGGACUAAAUGUACACGGGACAAAAUCGCAAUCAAUACAUAGAAGAAAUACAAAUUAUCAACGAGCAUGGCUUUUAUUCCUGUUCUUCAUCUUGAAAGUAGCUGGAGGGAUUUCAACUCGGAACCGGACCAUUUAUACCCAUUAUACAAUAGCCACAUCGGUUAGUGCAUC
Molecule: long non-coding RNA, 723 nt
Filed under: Mytilus galloprovincialis (Mediterranean mussel)
Lineage: Eukaryota; Metazoa; Mollusca; Bivalvia; Mytilida; Mytilidae
Source: RNAcentral